Molecule: long non-coding RNA, 1166 nt
Organism: Mya arenaria
Lineage: Eukaryota; Metazoa; Mollusca; Bivalvia; Myida; Myidae
Exons: 3
Source: RefSeq, a predicted model, not a curated record
GAUCAUAUACAACCAUAUGUUACUUUGAUGUACAUUUUACUGAUAAGUAAUUUAAUAGUUUCUUUGUGUUGAAAAGUGUGCCGUCCUCGGAAAGUGUAGUUGAUACACUUAACACCCAGAUAUAAUUAGUUUUCAAAGCCAUGUAAAGCUACAUUCUCACACAAACUAAGACCAUGCCAUUUUGUUAAGCGUCCGCAUUUUGAGCUACUUGAGCAAAAUCAAACCGAGUCGGAUAGCUCGCCGUAUAACUCAAAUGAUUUAAUUGAUGUCACAAGUCGGUAGAUACAGAUACAACAACGAGGAAGAUACUUCUACUUACAACACGGACGAAAAAAUAACUGGUCAGGCAGAACGAACAACUACCAAAACUAUUAUACUACAUCUGAAGAUGACGUCACGCCUGAAACACACAAUUCUCUUUAGAAGCAAGCGAGCACCACAGUUGGAGGAACAGAAUGAAAUAGAAGGCAAUGAUAAUGGUACUGCUUGUACUAUUCAUGCAAGUAUCAGCCGUUCACAGUAGCGUUAUACGUGGGCCUACGACAUUUACGUUACAAAAACGACCAUCCAACACUGGCAGUGCCAACACAAACAUAGCCACGGUCCAACGGCAGCUAACCCAGAUGGAGUCAGUAGAGAGAUACUACCAGCAGCUCUUUCUUAGAGGAUAUUUGUCGGAGGAGGCUUUUAACAAUUUGCGUAGUAUACAAGAUUACAUUGAAUACUUACGGAAUUAUUUGGACACGACUCAAACAAACGGACCAAGCAACUAGAUUGACGAAAGAGGAAAAAAUAAUUUUGAAUAAAUUCAGCAUAAUAAGCCCGUAUUGGUGUUUAAAUUCCAAUGGCAAACGAGAACCAGUCUGUAUCCACGACUCGCUCAUAAUGGUUGUUUGUCGAAUAUACUUGACCAUUUUGUUAUAAACAAAAGGUUAUCAAUUUAUUUGCUCGGCUGUUUACCUAAUACUAAUGUCGAGACAUUGUAAUAACCUUGGUGUCGUCGUACACAAAUUUUAAUGUUUGAUACAAUUUAAAACCACACAAUUACAGUACAUGUACGUUAUACUUGAUGGAUGCAUUUUUUAACAUUUUAAUGCAUUAUUUGUUUAACUCAUUUAUUUAAUUGCUCAAGACAAAAAACAACAUAUGAGUUGUGUCCCUUUAGU